GACGUAGGCUCCAAGCGUUGUCCGGAUUUAUUGGGCGUAAAGAGCUUGUAGGCGGUUUGUUAAGUCGGGCGUGAAAACUCUGGGCUCAACCCAGAGAGGCCACUCGAUACUGCUAUGACUUGAGUACGGUAGGGGAGUGGGGAAUUUCUAGUGUAGCGGUGAAAUGCGCAGAUAUUAGAAGGAACACCAGUGGCGAAGGCGCCACUCUGGGCCGUAACUGACGCUGAGGAGCGAAAGCAUGGGUAGCAAACAGG
This 254-nucleotide ribosomal RNA is filed under the name uncultured bacterium. RNAcentral's name for it is "partial 16S ribosomal RNA". It matches the Rfam family "Bacterial small subunit ribosomal RNA", at positions 524 to 776 of the family's 1533-position model. The record is from RNAcentral.